CACUCCUGCGGGAGGCAGCAGUGGGGAAUUUUGGACAAUGGGCGAAAGCCUGAUCCAGCAAUGCCGCGUGAGUGAAGAAGGCCUUCGGGUUGUAAAGCUCUUUUGUCAGGGAAGAAACGGUGAAAGCUAAUAUCUUUUGCUAAUGACGGUACCUGAAGAAUAAGCACCGGCUAACUACGUGCCAGCAGCCGCGGUAAUACGUAGGGUGCAAGCGUUAAUCGGAAUUACUGGGCGUAAAGCGUGCGCAGGCGGUUUUGUAAGUCUGAUGUGAAAUCCCCGGGCUCAACCUGGGAAUUGCAUUGGAGACUGCAAGGCUAGAAUCUGGCAGAGGGGGGUAGAAUUCCACGUGUAGCAGUGAAAUGCGUAGAUAUGUGGAGGAACACCGAUGGCGAAGGCAGCCCCCUGGGUCAAGAUUGACGCUCAUGCACGAAAGCGUGGGGAGCAAACAGGAUUAGAAACCCGGGUAGUCCCAUGA
RNAcentral lists this ribosomal RNA (475 nucleotides) under uncultured organism. Its description in RNAcentral is "partial 16S ribosomal RNA". It matches the Rfam family "Bacterial small subunit ribosomal RNA", at positions 334 to 800 of the family's 1533-position model. The record is from RNAcentral.